UGCAGUCGAACGCGAAAGUUCCCUUCGGGGAGCGAGUAGAGUGGCGCACGGCCNGUUUUAACACGAUAGGUAAUUUGCCUUUGGGUGGGGAAUACCAACCGGAAACGGUUGUUAAUACCGCAUAAUGCAGCGGCAUCACAUGAUGACAGUUGUUAAAGCGGGGGAUUGGAGCAAUCCGACCUCGCGCCUGAAGAGAAGCCUGCGGCAGAUUAGGUAGUUGGUGAGGUAAUGGCUCACCAAGCCUGCGAUCUGUAACCGGCCUGAGAGGGCGGUCGGUCACACUGACACUGACAUACGGGUCAGACUCCUACGGGAGGCAGCAGUCGGGAAUUUUGGGCAAUGGGCGAAAGCCUGACCCAGCAACGCCGCGUGAAGGAUGAAAUUUUUCGGAAUGUAAACUUCGCAAGAAUGGGAAGAAUAAGUAGGGGACAAUACCCCCUAUGAUGACGGUACCAUUUGUAAGCUCCGGCUAACUUCGUGCCAGCAGCCGCGGUAAUACGAGGGGAGCAAGCGUUGUUCGGAUUUACUGGGCGUAAAGGGCGCGUAGGCGGCUCUACAAGUCACUUGUGAAAUCUCCGGGCUUAACUCGGAACGGUCCAAGUGAUACUGUCGAGCUAGAGUGCAGAAGGGGCAAUUGGAAAUUCUCCGGUGUAGCGGUGAAAUGCGUAGAUAUCGAGAGGAACACCAGAGGCGAAAGGCGGAUUGCUGGGCUGACCCUGACNCUGAGGCNCGAAAGCUAGGGGAGCGAACGGGUAUUAGAU
Molecule: ribosomal RNA, 761 nt
Filed under: uncultured bacterium
Lineage: Bacteria
Description: bacterial SSU rRNA
Rfam family: Bacterial small subunit ribosomal RNA
Source: RNAcentral